AGUGUGUGUGUAGUGUGUAUAUAAUGCAGAGUGUGUGUUUGUGUAGUGUGUAGUGUGUAUUGUGAAUGCAAACACACACUCUGCAUUAUAUACACACUACACAAACAC
Non-coding RNA from Pelobates cultripes (western spadefoot toad), 108 nucleotides. The record is from the annotation of a GenBank genome assembly. NCBI's taxonomy places the organism in Eukaryota, Metazoa, Chordata, Amphibia, Anura, Pelobatidae.